Molecule: ribosomal RNA, 2712 nt
Filed under: Triticum aestivum (bread wheat)
Lineage: Eukaryota; Viridiplantae; Streptophyta; Magnoliopsida; Poales; Poaceae
Description: partial small subunit ribosomal RNA
Source: RNAcentral
AUGAAGCAUAGAUUAUCAUGCAAAGCUGAUGAUAUUGAUAGUAUUGAAGAAGUUAUAGAUAUACAAAGAGAUCUAGAAAGAUAUCAGAAAGAUACCCUAAGAAAAAUAAAGCCACAACAAGUAUAUCACAUGGGUAUGUUUGAAAGUAAGAGUGGUCUAUACAGAAUAUCUCGAGAAGUAGAAUUAAGCGUGUUAACACAUCCAGUAGAUUUAAGAAUUGUAAGCAAAAAUAUUGAAAAUGAAUUAAAAUAUUGUGGUUACAAAUAUAUUCAUCAAGAAAAAAUGAGUUUUAGUUUCCAAACUAAAGGUUAUGAAGAUUUUAAAGGAACAAAUUUGCUAGUAAGUUUAGAAUUUAUAGGAAGGCUCACUAAUAGAAGUAGCUCCAGAUAUAGAGUGAAUGUGAAUGACGUAAUUGAUAGUAUGCAAUCAAAAGGUAUUAAAUUUAUGAAUCCUCUUAAAAUUGGCUCUGAAGAAAGAGCAGGAGAAGAAUGGAAGAUAGGAGAAUUAAUAGAGAAAAAAGAAUUAAAGCAACCUGAAAACUACAUAAGCUAUCAAAAUUGUGAAGGAAGUAGCAGUAUUCGAUUUAUGAACUAUAAAGCUCCAUCAAUAGAAGACUCUGAAUCAUUUAUGUCAGAAUCGGAAAUUAAUGAUGAUAAGAAUAAAGGUAUAUCUGAAUGUAUGGAAAAGGCUAAUUUAGAUGAUGAAAUAAUUCAUUGGGAAAAGAAGCUAAAGCAUAUUGAAUGGGAAUAUAGUCAUUCUAUGACAAAGGAUUGGCCGAAAAUUAGAGAAAGAGAGCUAUUUAUCAUUCGAGAAAUUACAAGGUUAAAGAAACUAAAAAGCGAUAAAAUGUCUGUCAUUAGUAGUUCAAGCAUGGAAGAUAAAAUUUUAGCAUCCGCGGAAAGUAAUAAUAAAGAUAAGAAUAUUAUUCAAAAAGAAGAAAUUGUUAGUGAAGAAGAGCAAUGGGAUAUCAAUAAUAAGUUAUUAUUAGAAAGUUAUGAGGAAGAGGAGGAAUUAAUAAAAGAAAUGUGGUUAGAAGAUGAAAGAUAUGAUGAUUCAGAACAAAAUAGUGAUUUCUAUAACUCACUAGAUGAUGUGGGAGAAUCUGAAAAAGUUCUUUGGGAACAAUGGGUAGAAUCAUACCCUAGUCAAUAUGAAGAAUUAAAAAGGGCAGGAGGUAACCCUAAUAACUUUGCGAAUGUUAUCUCAAAUAUGAUCAUAGCAGAAGAUCCUGAAUUAGGACAUACCUCAUUGCAAAAUGAAAGGUUAAGAGAAAUAGAAAAAUUAACAUUAACUAGCUGGAAAGGUAUUAAAGAGUUUUCCCAGCAUUAUUUGUAUAAUGCUACUACUGCUAAACAAGGUUUUAAUGUGGGCGUAGUAGAAAGAUAUUUUAAUAAGUUGCCUGAUCCCCUAGGGUUAAUAAUAUUUGAAGAAUAUAAAAAGGAAACGGCGGGAAACGUGGUAAACAUAUCUCAAGCUGUAACAUUUGUUUUCAAACAAUUAAGAAAGGUGUGUACUAGUAUUCAAGCCCAAAGAUCUAUGAAGAAAUCAGAUUAUAAUUUUUGCAAUAACAUAGUCCAAAUACCACUUACAUAUGGAGAAGAAAGGCAUAGGAAUCAUCUAAGUAGAACUUGCCCUAAUAAAGACCAGAAAAGAUACUCUAGCAAAUAUGAAGAACAAGAGAGGGUGUUAAUUAUAGAUAGCGUUAAUGAAAAUAUAUUAGUAUGUGAUGAUGCAAUAAAAGACGAUGAGUCAAUAUAUUCAAUUAUAGAAACAGAUGAAGUAGAAAAUGAGGCUCCAGAAUAUGAAUCAAGUGAAGAUGAAAUAGACCUAAUAGAUGAUUUAGCCGGUUUAAAAAUUGAAAUGAUGAACCAAGUAGAUUGUGAACAUGAUUGGAUUAGAGGAAAAGGUGAUUAUAACAUAAAAUGUGCUUUCUAUAUAUAUUAUCCAAGCCAAGAUAAUAGGUUUACAUGUAGCUUGUGUUUAAAACAAGCAUGUGCCUCAUGUCUAAGAGCCAAUAAUCAAAAGUGGAGACAAGAGAUAGAAUUGGAACCAGAAGAGCGAAUAUUAUCCAGUAGGGUUAGAAAUUUAGAAAAUAGAAUAAAUAAGCUAGAAGCAGAGCUAGAAAAACUUAAAGAUGAGUUAGAAAAUAGUAAAGAGGAAAAUGAUAAUGUUCCAAAAAACACAGAAAUGAAAGAGAAAAUGGUAACAGUAAGGGAUAAAAAAGGAGACAAAUUAAUACAAUUGAAAGAUGCAAUUACUAGUUUUGGAAACAAAUAUAUUGUUCGAUUACCAUUCAAAGAAGUGUUAGGAAUAAGGAUCCCAGUUAAGAUUGUUCUGAAGCCAAAUAUUUCAUAUAAAGUACUGGCACUAUUAGAUACUGGUUGCACUAAAAAUAUCAUCCAUGAUAAAUAUUUUAUGAGAUGUCCCGAAAUAGUUGAAACUAUAGAUGAUAAUAAAGCUGAAGUAUCUACCGAUAUGUCAGGAAUAAAGAAGAUCCAUAACCAGCUAGCAUAUAAUAUUGAAGCUUACAUAAAUGGCACAAAAUAUAUAAUAGAUGAAAUUACAAUAAGAGAUUUGUCAGUAAUAAAUGAUGACAUGAUAAUAGGGUUAAGAUUUUUACAACAAUCUUUACAAACCACAAUCAUACAUGAAGAGGGGGUAACAUUUAUUCCUUAUCAAGAUAAUGUUCCAUACAUAUCUGAAGUGCGAAAA